UACGUAGGGUGCAAGCGUUGUCCGGAAUUAUUGGGCGUAAAGAGCUCGUAGGCGGUCUGUCGCGUCUGCUGUGAAAACUCAGGGCUUAACCCUGAGCUUGCAGUGGGUACGGGCAGACUAGAGUGCGGUAGGGGAGACUGGAAUUCCUGGUGUAGCGGUGAAAUGCGCAGAUAUCAAGGGAGGGAACACCCGGUGGGCGAAGGCGG
RNAcentral lists this ribosomal RNA (206 nucleotides) under uncultured bacterium. RNAcentral describes it as "partial 16S ribosomal RNA". It matches the Rfam family "Bacterial small subunit ribosomal RNA", at positions 524 to 724 of the family's 1533-position model. The record is from RNAcentral.